UUUACGGAGAGUUUGAUCCUGGCUCAGGACGAACGCUGGCGGCGUGCUUAACACAUGCAAGUCGAACGGUGAACCCGACUUCGGUCGGGGGAUCAGUGGCGAACGGGUGAGUAACACGUGACCAACCUGCCUCUAGCUCUGGGAUAACUCCGGGAAACCGGAGCUAAUACCGGAUACGAGACCUUGCGGCAUCACGAGGUCUGGAAAGUUUUUCGGCUAGGGAUGGGGUCGCGGCCUAUCAGCUUGUUGGUGGGGUAAUGGCCUACCAAGGCGACGACGGGUAGCCGGCCUGAGAGGGCGACCGGCCACACUGGGACUGAGACACGGCCCAGACUCCUACGGGAGGCAGCAGUGG
This 355-nucleotide ribosomal RNA is filed under the name Sporichthyaceae bacterium. RNAcentral's name for it is "bacterial SSU rRNA". It matches the Rfam family "Bacterial small subunit ribosomal RNA", at positions 1 to 357 of the family's 1533-position model. Lineage: Bacteria; Bacillati; Actinomycetota; Actinomycetes; Sporichthyales; Sporichthyaceae. The record is from RNAcentral.